CUGAAUAGGACUAAUUGUAGUUAGUUCUCCAGCCCAUGCUAUGGGCACAUUUCUGAAUAGACCUAAUUGUGCUCAUUUUAAGGCUACAACUGACUUCAGGAUAAAUCUUGUGGGUAAUCAGGCAUAUGCACUAGCGGAUAUUGCUGUCAUGGUUUACAGGCAUGUGGCCCCAGAGUGUGAGGAAAUUUAGGAACAUCAAACUGCUAAGAGAUGGCUGCAAUGCUUGUUAAAACAUCUGUGCAGUUUAGGAACUGAACUCCCAUCCUCUUCAAUGGGAGUUAAGUGCAAAUAAAGAAAUCACUUUUGUCCCAGAUCCUGAAAGAUAUUUAGAUGCCCAUUUCUUCUUGAAGAAGACCUUUUUACCAAUCCAGGGCCUAACGCCCACUGAAACCGAGAGCAGUAGGCGCCUAACCUACUCAGGUGCUUUUGAAAAAACCCAACACCUUUCUAAAGUCUCUUGAAAACAGGACCUACGUUACCUGUACUCCAUUUUACAUAUGACAGGGCAAAGAAUGAAGUAUUUGCUUUGAAUUUGGCUCAGGGUCCAACACUGCUUCUAGGGAGGCACAACAUCCCCUAUAUAGGGGUUAAAAAGGCGGCAGCUGACUUGGCGUCAUAUGUUACUUGGCUAUGCAAGUCUGUUAUCACAGUAAUCCUCCGGCAUGUAACAGCGCAGGCUGCCUGUGAUUUUACAGAUGGACACAGGGCUUGCUGUCUUUUGAACCUGGCACUUCCAAGGAGUGCAGACCUUCCUGACUCCAGAACCACGCUUGCCUGGCCCUUUUCUUUUCUAACACAGAUAGUCAACAGCAAAGAAGAAUUUGUGCCCUUCUCUCGUGAACGGCGAGUAGGGGCUUUGGACGCAGUGGCCGGGACGUAGAGGAGCCAUACUGGGGCCCAAACUAGCUCAGACAAAAUAUCCACCUAGCCCAGUAUGUGCACUAGUCACCAGCAGUAGUUGGUAUGGAAAACGUUUCUGAAGUAGGAUAAAUGUGGAACGACCCUUCUCCAGGUGUAUCUUCUCAGAGCUGCAGGCCCUCCUGUUUGGUAAGGUGUGGAGGCCCUUCAGUCCCUGCACUGCCCAGCGCUGCGAUGAAGCCACCACUGCCCAGCGCUGCAAUGAAGCCACCCUGCGAUGAGGCCACCAAUGCCCAGCGCGGCAAUGAGGCCACCCUGCGAUGAAGCCACCACUGCCCGGUGCUGCAGUGAAGCCACUGCUGCCUGGCACUGCGAUGAAGCCAUCCUGCAAUGAAGCCACCACUGCCCAGUGCUGCAGUGAAGCCAUCACUGCCUGGUGCUGCAAUGAAGCCACCCUAUGAUGAGGGCACCAAUGCCGAGUGCUGCGAUGAAGCCACUGCAGCCUGGCACUGAGAUGAAGCCACCCUGUGAUGAGGCCACCACUGCCCAGCGCUGCGAUGAGGCCACCACCACCUGACACUGUGAUGAAGCCACCCUGCGAUGACGCCACCACUGCCCGGCGCUGCGAUGAAGUCGCUUCCUGGGCCAGCGGCUGCCAGAAACACGUCUAGCAGGCACUGGUGAGACUUGCUGCCAGGAGAGGUCCAGCACUCGCAAACCUAGGUGUGUUUUCGUCCUCACAACCUCUGGUGGCAGUAAGGUUCACCAUUUAACUGUACCCUCUGUGGCAGGAAAAAAAAAUCUUUCCGUUUAUUGUAAAUCUGUUACCUGGGGUGACUGCAUCUGCUGAAGUUACCUGACUGCUGCGUGCUUCGUUUGCUGCUCCCCCAGCUCUUGCGUUACAAGCAGCGGGGGAAGCCCCGCUCGCCGCCUUGACACCGGUCCCCACGAGAGAGCCGCACGGUGGCCAAUGGUGCCGCCAGGGCUGCCUGAUGCCUGAGCUGCUUUAAUGGUUUUGGCCA
This is a long non-coding RNA of Struthio camelus australis, 1880 nucleotides long. The record is from Ensembl. Lineage: Eukaryota; Metazoa; Chordata; Aves; Struthioniformes; Struthionidae.